RNAcentral lists this ribosomal RNA (480 nucleotides) under uncultured Fusarium. RNAcentral's name for it is "eukaryotic LSU rRNA". It matches the Rfam family "Eukaryotic large subunit ribosomal RNA", at positions 89 to 580 of the family's 3401-position model. The record is from RNAcentral. Lineage: Eukaryota; Fungi; Ascomycota; Sordariomycetes; Hypocreales; Nectriaceae.
GCGAGUGAAGCGGCAACAGCUCAAAUUUGAAAUCUGGCCCCCGGGUCCGAGUUGUAAUUUGUAGAGGAUGCUUUUGGUGAGGUACCUUCCGAGUUCCCUGGAACGGGACGCCAUAGAGGGUGAGAGCCCCGUCUGGUCGGAUACCGAUCCUCUGUAAAGCUCCUUCGACGAGUCGAGUAGUUUGGGAAUGCUGCUCUAAAUGGGAGGUAUAUGUCUUCUAAAGCUAAAUAUAGGCCAGAGACCGAUAGCGCACAAGUAGAGUGAUCGAAAGAUGAAAAGCACUUUGAAAAGAGGGUUAAACAGUACGUGAAAUUGUUGAAAGGGAAGCGCUUGUGACCAGACUUGGGCCCGGUUAAUCAUCCAGCGUUCUCGCUGGUGCACUUGGCCGGCCCAGGCCAGCAUCAGUUCGGCGUGGGGGAUAAAGGCGGCGGGAAUGUGGCUCCUCCGGGAGUGUUAUAGCCCACCGUGUAAUACCCUGUG